CCAAAUAUUGUUCUCAACAAUCAAGGAAUUCUGGAUUGAGUUGACAAACUGGUGUUGUAAGGUAAGAAUUAACAAGAAUAAAUAGUCUGCUUUUAGUGCUUUAUAUGAAGAAAAUGACAAACUGGCCCAGCUAAGGUAGUCGCCCAGGACCUGUUCAAUAUGAGCCAUGCUGGCCCAUUAAACCGAGUUAGCUUACUUGGCCGGGCCUAGUUGUUAUUUGUUUCACAUGAGGCGGGCUAGCCUGGCAACUGCUAUAAGAAAUUCCCAAACAAUUUUAUAUAUGGUAGGAAAGCGAUAUUUGUUUUAAGGCGUAAAAAAAUACCUGUGGUUCCGGUUCCCGACCGAUCCUAUUUUUUGUGCCGACCCUAUUAUUUUUUCAACGCGAUUGACCGUGUGACCCUAUUUUCUCCAGGUGGUUGUACAAGACCAUCUCGGCACUUGCAAGUCUGUCCAGCCAGACGAAUCAGCCUUGAUCUUGUAAACAGCCCAUGUAAGGACCUUGUUUGUAGGAAUUAUUACAUUUCUUGAUACUGCAUAAAAAAUUUAGUAAAUAUUAACAACACAAUUACAUCUACCCCCAAUGCAGCCCAUUGUAAGGCCUGUUGGCACUGUACUCAAUUUUUGUAUCUGUAACAUGUAUACCAUGCUUCGACUACUCCUAUUCACACAGGCCGAGCAUGGAUAAAUUUGAUACAGGUACCAAUUUUAUCUGUGCCAUACUAGGCGUAUAAAGUACCUGUGUGAUUCCGGUUCCCGAUCGACCCUAUUUUUUUAAAAGUGAUUGACUGUGCGACCCUAUUUUCUCCGGAUGGUUGCGGGCUGCUGCCAAAUGACAUCUGUUGUCACACUAAUUAUUGAAAAAUCCAUGAAAAAAUAUUCAAAAAAAAAAUUAUUUCCGACCUACCAACCCAAAUUUUUUUGCAAUAUGAAACCGGAACCACAGGUAUUUUUUUACGCCCUACUAGAUUAAUCUUGCUAUGUCAAUACCAAACAAUUGUACAUGUCCAGGGUCCUGAUGUAUUAACCCAAUUAUUGGCAGCACUCUUCCCCUGAGUCCCGGACGAGUUAAAUGGUCUGGCAUUAGACAGAGUAAAAUAAUAAAGUAGGGCGCAUCUUGGUGCAUUGGCACUUAAAGGGUUAAUGUAAUGUUACUGCACUACAGUGAUGCUAACUGUAUAAUAAAUUAAAGUUAUUUAAGAGAAGACAGUCAGUUGAGUAUCAUAUUUAGUCCACAAGAUAUAUUCCCCUUUAAACUGGAACUGUUGCAUGACAGAUCAUAAAUUAAUUGACAUAAUCUACUUGGACAGUAGUGCACAAUGCAACUAAAUGGUUAAUUUGACACAUGGGCAGAUAGUCUGAUUAAUCCAUUGAGCUUGACUGCUUUGCCCUUGACAAGUAAAGUUAUCUGGUGUUAGUCAGAGUAAAAUAAUAAAGUAUGAUGCAACAAAAUUUAGUGUCUGGUGAAACUAAGCUUGCUGAUUAAUAGUGAUUAUUGGUUAUUACUUUUUAAAAUAACAUGGGUCCAAGGUCUUUGCCAGAAGAAGUUGCGCCAGAUGGUGGUUUGCCUAAUACCAGAUGGUAGCGGGUGGUGCCCAGAUACCUAUUAUGGCACCAGAUAGUAGUCUACAGGGUUUUUUUUCAGGACUUUCUCUUGGGUCCAUUUUUGCAGAGAAGAUUGAGUUUAGCUGAACAGCUGGGGUGGCUGCACCCCCUCCCCCCUACCGCGGGAGGCUGACACCUAUGCUCAAUAAAUGUAGUUGAGAUGGAAUGUGUUAAAGCAGGGGCACUAAGGGACACUAUAAACUGGUUAAAGAUGGCCAAUGCAUAGUUUUUCCUGUGUUGCAAGAUGAAUUCCAGCCAUUUUUUCUUAAUUGUCGGGCUUCCGACUGAAAACUAAUUUCCACACGUCACAAAAUUUUAUAACUCAAACAACUUCAUUUUUACUUUACUGAAACUUUGGUGAGAAGAUUGAGUUUCAAAACUCAAUUCAAGAUUGAAUUUUUGGGCCUGUUUAACAGCUCUAAAAAAUCCCUGAAAAAAACCCUGGUCUACUGGGUACAGGUCUGGAGAAAGCCUGUCUCUGGUUAACAUAUGUAUAUUUGUCAUACCCUGCAUCACCUUGUACAUACAGAUGAAAUAUGAACUGGCUUUGUUAUUGGUUAAAUAAAGGCUGUUUAUUACAUCCACAGUUAGUAGUCCCUUUUACACUGUAGGUUAAUGAUAAGUCUCAAGGUCAUUGUUCUGGCAUAUUUUGUAUAAAGUAAUGAUUACAUUCUCAACAAGUAAAAUUUUCCUUUUACAGAUUCUAAGAUGAUGGAUCUUUGAUGGCAAUUGCAUGCUGUGUUUGGAACAGUAUUAAUUAAAUGUGCAUGAGGAAAUCAAUGGAUUUGGUGAAUGAACAAUGGUAUAGAUAAUAUUGAUUGUGAAAUGGACAAAAUGUUAAACAAAAUAUGACUUCAGGAGAAACCAGGGUUUUUUCAGGGAUUUUUUAGGGCCCUUUAAACGGCCCCAAAAACUCAAUCUUGAAUUGAGUUUUGAAACUCAAUCUUCUCACCAAAGUUUCAGUGCAGUAAAAAUGAAGUUGUUUGAGUUAUAAAAUGUUGUGACGUGUGGAAAUUAGUUUUCAGUUGGAAGCCC
Molecule: long non-coding RNA, 2637 nt
Filed under: Paramuricea clavata
Lineage: Eukaryota; Metazoa; Cnidaria; Anthozoa; Malacalcyonacea; Plexauridae
Source: RNAcentral